RNAcentral lists this ribosomal RNA (279 nucleotides) under Triticum aestivum (bread wheat). Its description in RNAcentral is "partial small subunit ribosomal RNA". The record is from RNAcentral. Lineage: Eukaryota; Viridiplantae; Streptophyta; Magnoliopsida; Poales; Poaceae.
AUGCGAACACAAACUUCAGGCAUCCAAGAAAGAAGUCAAGAUCGAAAUCGAAGCAUUGUCAUUGGGUUGAAGAUCAAUUCAUAUCGACAAGACUUUCCAUUCAUCUUUUUGUUGAUAUUUGGAUUCCGUUUUCAAAUAAAGUCAUCUUGUAGUUAGAAAUCACCUUUAGAAUCAUCAGCCUCUGUCCCUACACUGACUCGCUUAUCCGGGAUCGAUCCUCACUACGGUCCUUUAUUUCGAAAUGAGGAUAGGUCUCUCGCGGAACGAGGUGUAGAUUGA